UACAGAGGGGGCAAGCGUUGUUCGGAAUUACUGGGCGUAAAGCGUGCGCAGGCGGUUAUGUAAGACAGAUGUGAAAUGCCCGGGCUUAACCUGGGAACUGCAUUUGUGACUGCAUGGCUAGAGUGUGUCAGAGGGGGGUAGAAUUCCACGUGUAGCAGUGAAAUGCGUAGAUAUGUGGAGGAAUACCGAUGGCGAAGGCAGCCCCCUGGGAUAACACUGACGCUCAUGCACGAAAGCGUGGGGAGCAAACAGG
RNAcentral lists this ribosomal RNA (253 nucleotides) under uncultured bacterium. Its description in RNAcentral is "partial 16S ribosomal RNA". It matches the Rfam family "Bacterial small subunit ribosomal RNA", at positions 524 to 776 of the family's 1533-position model. The record is from RNAcentral.